This 439-nucleotide ribosomal RNA is filed under the name uncultured soil bacterium. Its description in RNAcentral is "bacterial SSU rRNA". It matches the Rfam family "Bacterial small subunit ribosomal RNA", at positions 26 to 446 of the family's 1533-position model. The record is from RNAcentral.
AGAGUGAACGCUGGCGGUAGGCCUAACACAUGCAAGUCGAACGGCAGCACGGUAAGAGCUUGCUCUUAUGGGUGGCGAGUGGCGGACGGGUGAGGAAUACAUCGGAAUCUACCUUUUGGUGGGGGAUAACGUAGGGAAACUUACGCUAAUACCGCAUACGCCCUUCGGGGGAAAGCCGGGGACCAGCAAUGGCCUGGCGCUGAUAGAUGAGCCGAUGUCGGAUUAGCUAGUUGGUGAGGUAAUGGCUCACCAAGGCGACGAUCCGUAGCUGGUCUGAGAGGAUGAUCAGCCACACGUGGAACUGAGACACGGUCCAGACUCCGUACGGGAGCAGCAGGUGGGAAUAGUUGGACAAGUGGGCGACGAACGCCUAGAUCCAGCCAUACCGCGGUGGUAGAAGAAGGUCCCGUUAGGUCGUAAACGUCCCGUUUUAGGUUAA